AUCGCUUCUCGGCCUUUUGGCUAAGAUCAAGUAUAGUAAAAAAUAUUUGUCUUUUUAUUUUAUUUAUUUAUUUACUCAUUCCCU
Molecule: small nuclear RNA, 84 nt
Filed under: Erinaceus europaeus (western European hedgehog)
Lineage: Eukaryota; Metazoa; Chordata; Mammalia; Eulipotyphla; Erinaceidae
Description: U2 spliceosomal RNA
Source: Rfam by way of RNAcentral